GGAGAUUUAGCUCAGUGGUAGAGCGCUUGCCUAGUAAGUGCAAGGCCCUGGGUUUGGUCCCCAGCUCCA
Non-coding RNA from Rattus norvegicus (Norway rat), 69 nucleotides. NCBI's taxonomy places the organism in Eukaryota, Metazoa, Chordata, Mammalia, Rodentia, Muridae. The record is from Rfam.